AGGGUUAAAGGAAUGAAAAAAAAAAAAAGAAGAAAAAAAAAGUAAAUAAAAUUUACUUUUCUCUCUCUCUCCUCAACCCGCAUGCACGUUUUUUUCCUUCCUUCUUCUUCUUUUCCUUCCAGCCCUAGCCGCCAACACCGUCCGCCGUCUGCCUUCCAGCCCUCACUUGUCGUUCCGUCGAAGCCGCGAGCAGCGCCGCCAGUCUCACCUUAUCGUUCCGUCGAUGCCAGCCUUACCUUGUCGUUCCGUCGACGCUGCGAGCAGCGCCAUCAGCCUCGCCGUUCCGUCUCCACUGCAAGCACCGCUGUCUCGCCGCUCUCCUCGCCAACGUCAGCCCCGCCGUCUAGUUUUGCUUCUGCCACCGUUCGCCCGCCACUGCCUUUUUUAGAUUGGGAUUUGGAUUUCGAGGCGUUGCUAACAAAGAAAGGACCAUUCUCUUCAUCGAAGAGUUUUAGUUUUGAUUGGCUACUUGAAUCAAGUUUUGGAAUUUGUCUUGGAUCAAGCCACAACUUUGGGUUGAUUCAAGUUUUUCAAAGGUUUUAAAGAAUUAUUUGCGUGGACUUUUGUGACCAAGUUGAGGUAAGUGAUACUAUUACUGGUGUCUUCGUGCCAGACGAUCUAGAUUAGACUUAUGAAGUUACUUGGUUGACUCUAGAGCAUGAUUUUGUUUGAUAUUAUGUUUUGCUAGUUGCAUGGUGGUUACAAGUAUUAUGAGCAUGUUAAAAUUAUAAUCAAUACUGAUAUUAUGUAUGUGAUACAUGAAUAGACCAGUAGAGCAGUUUAUUGUCUUGCCUUGACAUGUGUUAUUACUAUGUUUGACGGUGUGCCUAUGGGCUGCUAGACAUGCGUGAACUGACAGGAUAACGUUCAUGUUAUUAUCAUGUUUGACGGUGUGCCUACGGGCCGCUAGAUAUGCAUGAAUCGACAGGUUUACGUUCAUGUUACUUUUAUUUUCAUGUUUCAUGUUUUGACGGUGUGCCUACGGGCCGCUAGACAUGCGUUUCAAGGCAAGAUAGUACGUCUUUUGGUUUUCCUUUCGUCAUCAAAAAUCGAUGUAACUGUAUGAGCCACGGGCUAAUUUUAUUUUUUCUUUCUUUGCUCAUUGAUGCAUAGUCUGAUCCCGGUAAUGGGAUCACUUAC
Molecule: non-coding RNA, 1140 nt
Organism: Benincasa hispida (wax gourd)
Lineage: Eukaryota; Viridiplantae; Streptophyta; Magnoliopsida; Cucurbitales; Cucurbitaceae
Source: RefSeq, a predicted model, not a curated record